AUUGAACGCUGGCGGCAUGCCUUACACAUGCAAGUCGAACGGCAGCACGGGAGCAAUCCUGGUGGCGAGUGGCGAACGGGUGAGUAAUAUAUCGGAACGUGCCCAGUCGUGGGGAUAACGUAGCGAAAGCUACGCUAAUACCGCAUACGAUCUAUGGAUGAAAGCGGGGGAUCGCAAGACCUCGCGCGAUUGGAGCGGCCGAUAUCAGAUUAGGUAGUUGGUGAGGUAAAGGCUCACCAAGCCAACGAUCUGUAGCUGGUCUGAGAGGACGACCAGCCACACUGGAACUGAGACACGGUCCAGACUCCUACGGGAGGCAGCAGUGGGGAAUUUUGGACAAUGGACGCAAGUCUGAUCCAGCCAUUCCGCGUGCAGGAUGAAGGCCCUCGGGUUGUAAACUGCUUUCGUACGGAACGAAAGGUUUCUAUUAAUACUAGGAGCUCAUGACGGUACCGUAAGAAUAAGCACCGGCUAACUACGUGCCAG
Molecule: ribosomal RNA, 486 nt
Filed under: uncultured bacterium
Lineage: Bacteria
Description: bacterial SSU rRNA
Rfam family: Bacterial small subunit ribosomal RNA
Source: RNAcentral